RNAcentral lists this ribosomal RNA (497 nucleotides) under uncultured bacterium. RNAcentral's name for it is "partial 16S ribosomal RNA". It matches the Rfam family "Bacterial small subunit ribosomal RNA", at positions 28 to 507 of the family's 1533-position model. The record is from RNAcentral.
GAUGAACGCUGGCGGCGUGCCUAAUACAUGCAAGUCGAGCGAACAUACGAGGAGUUUGUUCCUCUAACUAUAGCGGCAGAGGUGUGUGUCACACGUGUAUCCCGUCUCUAUGAGAGUGGUAACACUUCGGAAAACGGGCGCUAAUCGCAUAACAUAUAUUGCAACGCAUGGUUCAAUAAUGAAAGACGGUUUUGCUGUCACUUAUAGAUGGAUCCGCGCCGCAUUAGCUAGUUGGUAAGGUAACGGCUUACCAAGGCAACGAUGCGUAGCCGACCUGGGAGGGGGUCCGGCCCACCGGGACCGGAACACGGGUCAGGACUCCUAGGGGAGGCAGCAGAAGGGAAUGUUCGGAAAGGGGGGAAGGCCUGCCGGAGCAACGCGGCGGGAGGGAGGAAGGUCUUCGGUUCGUAAAACUCUGUUAUUAGGGAGGACCAAAUGUGUAAGUAAAGAGGGACGUCUUGACGGUACCUAAUCAGAAAGCCACGGCUAACUACGUG